UAGAAAGGAGGACAGCAUUUCCCAUUUCUGGCAUUACGAAUGACAACACAGCAACUGAAAGCAAGCAUGAAUUUCUGGGAGUAGCAUUAGGAUACAGGGCUCCUGCUGAGCUCACCAGAUCCUUGCUCUGCACAGCUGCCUUCUCAGCUGGGGGUUUUAAAUCAGCACAGUGAGAAAAGAUAGAAAUGACCAUGAUGCAUCUUCCUCACUAUGAGAAAAAGGAGGAAGAGAGACCAGAGCUUUCUUUUUCUCUGGCCACUGCCUGAAGACAUAGCAGGACAACAGGUAUGGGCAAGCCGGGAAGAGGGCCCCUACCAAGAACCCAACCUGGCUGGCACCUUGAUCUUGGAUUUCUCAGCCUCCAGAACUGUGAGAGAUGCCUCAACUUUUUAUGGAUCAUGCAGGAUUUGAUCAGGCAAAAAGGACCCAAAGGAUACAUUAUAGGAAGGACAUUAUUACCCGGAUUUGCCCUUACACAAGUGUGGGGUCUACACAAGCUUUGGGAGGCUGAUGUUUCUCUAUCUGAAGUUGGUGGUUGAAGUCCACAGGCAGGCGGCGUAGAAGAAAAAAAUGGACGCAAAUCGGGGAACUCAUGAACAAAGCACCUGGAACCGGCAGAACUGGAACCCCGAGAAUGGGUUGGAAUCUGCAUUGACCCUCCGCUGCUUCCAAACCUCCCACUUCAAUGAUGCGCAGCCUGCAGGAGAAGUUUGUGUUGUCCUCAGGGUCCUCAGCAACCUGGCCAAGCAGGGGAGGUGCUGACUCGGUAGAUCUGGAAGGAGCGGCGGGGGGGCGGCGGCCGGAAGGUGCCUGGCAUGAACUAGGUGAGCUGGGUGAGCCUCAGCAGCCUUGCAAGCCGCCGGGAUCUCGGAGUGCAGGAACACGAUGGUGCUUUUCUUCAGCCUCUCAAAUCUCAUGCAAAAUACAGCUCGGUUUACACGCCCGCGGGAUUGUACGGAGAAAGGAAUCCUGGAGAACAGAGUUCCAGCUUAGUUCAGCAGACCCACUUCAAAUCCGCCAACAGGAAGCACCUAACCAGUUAGAUGUCACUACAAUUUAGAAACAGGUUGGGCUUCUGUGUCUUUUGAAACAAUUAUAAAACCUAUAAAAAUAAAUAAAAUAAAUAUUUGAACAUUUAGCUGUUCCUCUCUGUGCUAAGCACAAACAAAACCCAUAUCUAUAUAAGCCUUUUGCUUUAGAAGCUUCCCUCAUAUUGAUUUUAUUUAUUCCAUGAUCUCUCAUGUAGUGAAAUUAAACUGAGUCUGGGUUUCCUCAAUAGUAAGAAGGGGGAGAGGGCAUAGACCAGUUUCAGUUAGAUGCUGUUCCACCACUGACUAGCCAUGGAGUCCUGAGCAAGUUUGCUCCUCUGUGAGCCUUCCUUUCCUCAGUCAUGGAUGAGUGCAGAGAAGUUCAAUGGUCAGACGCAUACUGUUCUGGAAAGAUGUUCUAAAGUCCCUAAUCAAUUAGGAUUCUUGACUAAGACCUCUCAACGCACAGCGUUAAUGUUUGCCAUUCACUGAAAAAUGAUAGGAAUUGUUUGUUUUGCGAUGCUAUCUCUAGUUAUCACAUCCUGUAACCAGGUUUCAUGGGUACCUUCUAUGACAUUGAAAUGCAUUCAUGAAAUCAUUUAAUGACCUAAUUAAUCCUGAAUAGAGAUUUUGUUUGGUUGUGAGCCUCUGCUGGUGAAAUUUUUACCUUUCCUCUCAGCACUCAGUAAUUUCAUUACCAUGUAUAAAGAUGUAUGCAUAAAUAUUUUAUGUAAUUUUUUUCCCUUGGUUCUGUUAUUGCAAUGUUCAGUAUUUAUUAUUUAUUUAGUUUAUUGUGUUUUUUUAUUAAUGUGCUUGCAUACUGGCUCCAGGGGUAUCAUGAUGUGAAGAAACAAAAUAGGCUAAUAAUUCUAAGAACUCUCUUAUUUCAGAGUUGCCUAAUUAGAACCACUUUUGCAAACAGAAAAGAAAAUUAAUGAGUACAACAGGAUAUAAUGUGUGUGAUCUUGGAGGACUACUCAAGAUUCCUUGGGAACUGGAGAGGGCCAUCGAACUCAGACAGGGUGAAUUUCAGAUGAGGUAACACUCGAACCUUUAUUAACACCCUGGAAGUUGUAUGUGCUGUUUGAAAAAAAAAAAAAAAAAGCAAAUAACAUAGAAGCCCGUAAAGUAAAAAAUGAAAGAACUAAAUGUAAUGUGAUUCCCUGGAUUGGAUCUUGGAGCAGAAAAAGAAUAUUAAUGGAAAAACAGAUUAAAUCUAUCUGAAGUUUGAACCUUACUUUGCAGUAAUGUAGUAAAGUUGGUAUUUUUCGUUUUGAGAAAUGUAGGGUGGAAAUGUAAGAUAUUAAUUAUGGGGAAAACUGGGUGGAGGUAUCCAGAAACUCUUUGUAUUACCUU
Molecule: long non-coding RNA, 2384 nt
Organism: Zalophus californianus (California sea lion)
Lineage: Eukaryota; Metazoa; Chordata; Mammalia; Carnivora; Otariidae
Exons: 3
Source: RefSeq, a predicted model, not a curated record